GUCACUUCUUGAGCCGCUUGAUCUGUCUGG
RNAcentral lists this non-coding RNA (30 nucleotides) under Mus musculus (house mouse). Lineage: Eukaryota; Metazoa; Chordata; Mammalia; Rodentia; Muridae. The record is from RNAcentral.